AUGCAUGAGUAUAGAAGAGAAGAUCUCCUUUUGGUGCAAUUGAUGGUAAAUCAAAAUGAUAAUUAUGAGGAGAUUGAAGAUUCAUGUUCAUCUAAAGGCAUGAUUAUGAUUUCAAUUGGCAAAAAAAAAUUGAAAAUCGCAUCAUUGAAGAUGUUAGGAGCUCGAAGUGUGUGUUUUGGUUUCAAUUCUAGAAGGGUAAGCACUUCUAGAGGUUUAAAAUUGAUUCUACAAUGA
Molecule: non-coding RNA, 234 nt
Organism: Vicia faba (fava bean)
Lineage: Eukaryota; Viridiplantae; Streptophyta; Magnoliopsida; Fabales; Fabaceae
Source: the annotation of a GenBank genome assembly